Non-coding RNA from Streptomyces violaceusniger Tu 4113, 75 nucleotides. The record is from Rfam. Lineage: Bacteria; Bacillati; Actinomycetota; Actinomycetes; Kitasatosporales; Streptomycetaceae.
CUUCAGCGCACCCAGCCACAACGGGCGCCCCUCCGGCCGCUCCUUGCCGUAGGUGGCCAGCAGUGCCUGCGCCUC